UGGCUCUCGCAUCGAUGAAGAACGCAGCGAAAUGCGAUAAGUAAUGUGAAUUGCAGAAUUCAGUGAAUCAUCGAAUCUUUGAACGCACCUUGCGCUCCUUGGUAUUCCGAGGAGCAUGCCUGUUUGAGUGUCAUUAAAUUCUCAACCUUUAUUAGCUUUUUGGUUAGUAAAUGGAUUGGAAGUGGGGGUAUGUUGGUUUCUUUGUUGAAAUGAACUCCCCUGAAAUACAUUAGCUGGUUGCCUUGUGCAAACAUGUCUAUUGGUGUGAUAAUUAUCUACGCCGUGGACUAUUUGCCGUUUAUAGCACUGCUUAUAAUCGUCUGUUCAUUCGGACAAUAUAUGACAAUUUGACCUCAAAUCAGGUAGGACUACCCGCUGA
RNAcentral lists this unclassified non-coding RNA (379 nucleotides) under uncultured fungus. RNAcentral's name for it is "partial contains 5.8S ribosomal RNA and internal transcribed spacer 2". The stretch from base 1 to 133 matches the Rfam family "5.8S ribosomal RNA", at positions 22 to 154 of the family's 154-position model. Lineage: Eukaryota; Fungi. The record is from RNAcentral.